AGUAACCAGCAUUACUGUGUGUUGUGUGUUUGUCAGACUGCAGGCUAUGAAAGCGCUUCAGAGGCUUGAAGCUGAACUAGAGAAUCACGACGCAAAGAACAAUGAGAAGGUUGAAUCUUUGCAAAAAGCACUUGAUGAAGCUCAACUGGACAACAGGAAACUUUCCCAGAGUUUAGAGCAGGCCUUACAGGAAAACCACAAUGCACAAGACAAAUUAAACACCCUCAGCGAGAGGGAGGCGGAGCAUAAAGAGACGAGGGCAGAGAUUCGGCGAUUGACAGAACAUGUAGAUUCACACAAGAGCUUGCUCAAAAGGGAAAAAGACUCUGGGAGAAAGUCAGCACAGCGGGUAAUUUUAAAGAAAUGA
RNAcentral lists this long non-coding RNA (367 nucleotides) under Sinocyclocheilus grahami. RNAcentral describes it as "lncRNA (ENSSGRG00000012013.1)". The record is from RNAcentral. Lineage: Eukaryota; Metazoa; Chordata; Actinopteri; Cypriniformes; Cyprinidae.